AAACCUCUGGACUGAUGCGAAUGUCUCUGGGUUAAAAGAACAGGCUCUGCCAGCCUGGAGCACAGACUUCAGAGGCGGGGCUUCAGUUGGCUGGCUCUGAUGUCUUUGAUGUGGGAUGUGAAAAAAUCAGUUCUGCAAGCGUUGCAAAAGCCGUGGGUUGUAUUAAGGUGAAGCUGUGGGAAGGAACUGCUGCUCCCUAGGAAGACGCUGACAAGAGCCACAAACAGACAGGAAGCUAAAGGAAGCAAGCAGCAGGGCUUUGUCAAGUUUAGAGAGAGAACUGAUUCACUGGGACAUGGAAACCACUCUUGUCUGAAAGGCCAUAUAAUCCAGCUUCAGAAGAAGUUAGGAUUGAAACGGGAGGAAGCCUGAAGAAAAAAUUUUCAUCAGCUCCUGAAUUAGAUCUUUAUAAUUUUAAUGAAGAAGAAAAGUAGAAACAAAGUUCAGAUAAUUAAAUGGAAAUACUGAAAAGUCAACUUGCCAUCCAAUUUCUGACAAGCAAAGUACUAACCCAGUAGAAUGGAGAAGGAAAUUAUGUUCCCAUAUGAUAUUUAUAGCAAGCUAAAUAAAGUUUUAUUAUAUUCUCA
This 587-nucleotide long non-coding RNA is filed under the name Homo sapiens (human). RNAcentral describes it as "HSALNT0249731". The record is from RNAcentral. Lineage: Eukaryota; Metazoa; Chordata; Mammalia; Primates; Hominidae.